CACCUCCUAUCGCUACCAAACUAGAAGCGCCAAUGGGGUCAGGGUGAGACCGCCGACGCCGUUCCUCAACUUCGCCAUCGGUCGGAGUCUGCCAGGCGGCCGGGUUUAGGAACGCCAAUGCCGGGAGAGAAAUUAAGAUCGACCUGUGUGGAUCUUCCUCAAGCGCGAGAUGUAGGGAUGGAUGGCCUCGGCCAUGGUGUUCCCUUGCCGGUGCGGGUCUCGCCGCGGUGCCGCAACCCCGACGUGGACAGAUCUCGUCUCAACCUUGUCGCUGACGAGCAAGCUACAGAGGAUUCUGAGGUUCAGCUGGUAGAGACUGCUGAGCAGGAGCUCGUUGAAGACGAGCAAGCUACAGAGGAUUCUGAGGUUCAGCUGGUAGAGACUGCUGAGCAGGAGCUCGUUGAAGGAGAAGAAUAGGUGGUUCAAGUGGAGCCAAGUAUCGAGGAGUUCGAUUCGAUCUAGGUGGCGUCUCCCAGUCAGCUUUCUGGCGCCAAGGAUAGAUUUUAGAUCCUGCGAUAUUUAUCUCUUAUUUUGUAAGACUUCCGCU
This 547-nucleotide unclassified non-coding RNA is filed under the name Zea mays. Its description in RNAcentral is "misc RNA Zm00001eb304100". The record is from RNAcentral. Lineage: Eukaryota; Viridiplantae; Streptophyta; Magnoliopsida; Poales; Poaceae.